UCAAGCUACAAAGAGCACAAGGGGAAUGCCUUGGCACCGAGAGCCGAAGAAGGACGUGACUAACUGCGAUAAGCUGCGGGGAGCCGUAAGUAGGCUUUGAUCCGCAGAUUUCCGAAUGGAGCAAUCCGGCAAGAGGAAAGUCUUGUCAUCAUAUACUGAAUACAUAGGUAUAUGAGGGGAACCGCCUGAACUGAAACAUCUAAGUAGGGCGAGGAAGAGAAAUCAACUGAGAUUCCGUAAGUAGUGGCGAGCGAACGCGGAAGAGGCCAAACCGAGAGUAGUAAUACUUUCGGGGUUCGGACAGAAUACGGUAUUGUAAAGGUUUAGUGGAAUGGAAUGGGAAGUCCAACCGAAGAAGGUGAGAGUCCUGUACACGAAAAGCCUGAGCAGCCAUCUGUAUCCAGAGUACCGCCGGACACGUGAAACCCGGUGGGAAUAUGGGGGGACCAUCCUCCAAGCCUAAAUACUACUCGGUGACCGAUAGUGAAGAAGUACUGUGAAGGAAAGGUGAAAAGUACCCCUGACGGGGAGUGAAAAAGAACCUGAAACCUUGUGUUUACAAGCACCGAAAGCUCAUCAAAGAGCGAUCGGGUACCUUUUGUAGAAUGGUCCGGCGAGUGAAUGUAACCGGCGAGGUUAAGCACUUAAGGUGUGAAGCCGCAGCGAGAGCAAGUCUGAAUAGGGCGUAUGAAGUCGGUUGUAUUCGACCCGAAACCGGGUGACCUACCCAUGGUCAGGUUGAAGUAAAGGUAAAACUUUAUGGAGGACCGAACCGACUCCCGUUGAAAUGGUAGCGGAUGAACUGUGGGUAGCGGAGAAAUUCCAAUCGAACCCGGAGAUAGCUGGUUCUCUCCGAAAUAGCUUUAGGGCUAGCCUUGAAAUAGAUUACCGGAGGUAAAGCACUGAAUUGGCUAGGGGCCGAGAGGUUACUGAACCUUAUCAAACUAAGAAUGCCGGAUAAUCGUUUUUCAGGAGUCAGACAGUGGGAGAUAAGUUUCAUUGUCAAAAGGGAAACAGCCCAGACCCACAGCUAAGGUCCCCAAGUAUAGUUAAGUGGAAAAGGAUGUGGAAUUGCACAGACAACCAGGAUGUUGGCUUAGAAGCAGCCACUCAUUAAAAGAGUGCGUAAUAGCUCACUGGUCGAGUGACUCUGCGCCGAAAAUUUAACGGGGCUAAACUAUACACCGAAGCUUGGGAUACAUCUAAUGUAUGGUAGGAGAGCGUUCUGUAUGGGGAGAAGUCGUAGCGAAAGCGGCGGUGGACUAUACAGAAGUGAGAAUGCCGGAAUAAGUAGCGAGAAUUAAGUGAGAAUCUUAAUGGCCGAAAGUCUAAGGUUUUUGGAGGAAGGUUCGUCCGCUCCAAGUAAGUCGGGAGCUAAGGUCAGGCCGAAAGGCGUAGCCGAUGCACAUACGGUUGAUAUUCCGUAACCAUCUGUAAUUUAAGCAAAGGGACACUUCAAAAGGGUGUGACCCGGGCGUUGGUUGACCCGGGCGUAAGGGACCGAAAUUAGAGUAGGGAAGCACACUUGGCUGAAGGCGAGAAAAGCUUUGCGUAUAGAAACAGAUGCCCGUACCGCAAACCGACACAGGUGGACAGGAAGAGAAUUCUAAGGCCAGCGGGAGAAGGGUAGUUAAGGAACUCGGCAAAUUGACUCCGUAACUUCGGAAUAAGGAGUGCUCGAAAGAGCCGCAGAGAAUAGGCCCAGGCGACUGUUUAGCAAAAACACAGGUCUCUGCCAAAUCGAAAGAUGAAGUAUAGGGGCUGACACCUGCCCGGUGCCGGAAGGUUAAGAGGAGGAGUGAGAGCUCCGAAUUGAAGCCCCGGUAAACGGCGGCCGUAACUAUAACGGUCCUAAGGUAGCGAAAUUCCUUGUCGGGUAAGUUCCGACCCGCACGAAUGG
This 1900-nucleotide ribosomal RNA is filed under the name human gut metagenome. RNAcentral's name for it is "bacterial LSU rRNA". It matches the Rfam family "Bacterial large subunit ribosomal RNA", at positions 3 to 1999 of the family's 2925-position model. The record is from RNAcentral.